Physcomitrium patens is the source of this 1975-nucleotide non-coding RNA. Lineage: Eukaryota; Viridiplantae; Streptophyta; Bryopsida; Funariales; Funariaceae. The record is from RefSeq and is a predicted model, not a curated record.
GAUCCGUUGUGUUACGCAUCCACAGUUGCGGACCAAUGCGUCGUUAGCUUUAUACUUUCCAAGCUUCGGGUAUGUAGACGGUGAGUCGACGUAGUAAAAGUAUUGCUAAUCCCUGGUGUGUAGGUUUUGGCCCUGUUUUUCAUAUUCACGGAAAAUCCCCCCAGCAGGAGAUCGUGACAUGUUAAAGGAUCUGGGAACUGGGAUCAAGGAGCGAGGACGACGUUACAUAGAACUUAGAGGAGGAAUAGCUACCACGCAGCACUUUCUGUGAUGGGGUUUCGUUGUGCACAGUACAAAGGUGCGAGACUAGUUGCGGUUCUGUACGUGCGGAGAAACCGAGCCGUCAAGUGAUAUGUCCCAAGUUGUGCGUGAGUGUGCGCACAAGAUUCUGUUACCGUAGGGAGUGACCACAUUUCAAUUUUCUCGCAUACUAUGAAGGGAGCGACUGGACCCUUCAUACAAGGUUGCUACGCCCACCUUUGUCUUCGACGCUGAGGCCGAAACUGUUACGAUCCCAUCGCUUUGGCUUUACAUGCGAGGAUGAACAGGUCGUAGAAUAAGCAUGUAUAAUAUGAACCCUGGUCUGAGUUGUCGGAAUUUGACCUCGGAUUUAGCACGACCCCCUAGGAACAGUGGGAGGAUCGUGCCAUCUCGCAUUGAUUUAUUAAAGAAUAGUUGAACAUAGACUGACUCGCUUAAAUCCAGCUUCGGAGCUUCCCUGUUUAUUAUGACAUGGUUAAACCCAUACCUCUCCAGCUGGAGACCGUGUGUGCGAAUCGCAUCACUGGUGGCCUAUUGCUUGCUGAAUUGUCAUUGAUGUGAUUCCGCUACAUUUUGAGGUGCUGAGAUUGAGACAUAACGCGCUUUCGGCUUCUCUUUUCAAUACUUCGCAUGCUUUCCUGUUUUGAGUUUGGCGAAGAGAUAGCACAUCUCCUGUAGAGUUGCUCUGCUGGGGAUGAUUAUUAUGUUUUUUCAAAUCUUGAGAGGAACCAUUGCACCCGCGUUGUAAUCUUGUACUAAACGCUCUGCAUUACGUUUGAGAGUGAAGAUUAGGAAGGAUUUAUUAACCAUAGCAUCCCCACAUGGAGAUCACGAUUUAAAGCCCGAAAGGCCUGGAGCUAACAUGAAGAGGCAGUGACCAAGAUGGAGAUGAUGGGAUGUUGGGCAUGCUCAACACGAUCUGUCAACAUUCUAGAGUAUAUUGACGGGUCGUGAUGGGCACUCUCAAUGUCCACUUCAUGGUUUUGUGACGUGACCCAGCUUGUGAAAUUGAUGACGAUGGAGGCCUUCUCCAGCAUUAACCUCCAUCUUCCGGUGCAACUACCCAGAGUCGGUAAUUCUUGGCCUUGCUUGUGAAGUCUUGCAUCCAUGUGAACUCUGUGACAAGUUGCAGGUAGCCCUAAGCGUUACCGAUGCGGAACUACUUUACUAAGUUCAUCACCCUGUUGAGGGUCUUACUUACAAGUUAGCUUGUGAAGGCUAAUCAACACAACUGACUGGUUGAGAAGGGUGGAAUAAGACGGGUUUAGGGAUUUUGCAUUUUCGUCAAAACCAUAGAGGAUGUCCUCUUUUUCAUGUUUUUUCAUUUUUCUCAAAGGCCAUGAUAGACUAUUUGAGCAAACAUUUUCUCCACCAACAAACAGUCUCUGUGUCUUAAGUGGCCCUCCUGAAGCGGUGGUAGCAGUUUGUAUGCACAGGAAUGACUUCACAGGAAGCCUUGAACUGGCUCAGUUUUCUCCCUGCAUUAACAACUGAUGGAUACAGAGAUGAGCUCCAGCACCUGUUGUUCAUUGUAUCUAGGCUGGUCUAUGGAAUUGUUUCUACAUAGCUUAGUGAACUCCUAACAGAAUCUACUCUCUUAGCUUUAUUGAACUCUACUGGGUUCCAAAACGGAAUCUGAGCUGUUUGACCUUUCAACUAUUUGAUGUACUAAAUUUUUUUUCUCAGGAGGAAGUUGUGGUGGAUGAGUUUCGAA